This 22-nucleotide non-coding RNA is filed under the name Arabidopsis thaliana (thale cress). The record is from RNAcentral. Lineage: Eukaryota; Viridiplantae; Streptophyta; Magnoliopsida; Brassicales; Brassicaceae.
CACGUGGAGUGCCAUUUGGCCA